This 21-nucleotide non-coding RNA is filed under the name Rattus norvegicus (Norway rat). Lineage: Eukaryota; Metazoa; Chordata; Mammalia; Rodentia; Muridae. The record is from RNAcentral.
AUCUCGGUAUCUACGUUCAAG